Mus musculus (house mouse) is the source of this 392-nucleotide long non-coding RNA. RefSeq annotates it as predicted gene, 52291. The record is from RefSeq and is a predicted model, not a curated record. The transcript is spliced from 2 exons. NCBI's taxonomy places the organism in Eukaryota, Metazoa, Chordata, Mammalia, Rodentia, Muridae.
AGGAAGAGAUGGUGGAAGACAUUUUAAAGUUAAACCAGGUUUUAAGCUGCAUGGUUGAAGACAAAUGUUUGUUUAUCCAGCAUUGGGAAGAAUGAGGAACAUUUUGGAAAAGUCAUUAUGUAUGUGAAAAUAUUAAGAUUAGAGCAUAAGAAUAUUGUGAAGACAAUCUACAAAUUAAAUAAUUUCCUUGCAUGAGCAACUUGUUCAGAGAUGGGAAGUGACAAUAGACUGAAUUAUUUCAUUGGAUGUUGUAAGAAUGGGAAAGAGCAGUAGCUUGAAGUAUGAAGUUUGAUCUUUGACUCAUCCAACCUAGCUGCAACUGCUCAUCAAAAUGUCAUGUGCAGGCUCCAAAGUCAUCUGGUGUUCAAUAAAUCCACUAAUGUCUCCUCUAA